UCAUCAUCGCAGAAGAAUGGCCUAGAAGGCAAUCGCAGACCAUCAACAUCACCUUCAAGCAUCUCUAUGACCUCACUCAUCGUCGGCCGAUCAUAGGAAUUCAUCUGAAUGCAAUGCAGCCCAACAAUACACAACUUCUUUUCCAGCUCAUGCAUAUUAAAGGCACUAGUAACCACCUCACCCAACUCUUGUUGAGCCAGCUGAUUAUACACCCAUGAUGGAUAAUACGCUUGGCUUGAGCUCGACAUAUCCUGCUUAGAGUUCCUUCGCCCUCCAACCAUCUCCAACAGAAGCAUUCCAAAGCUAUACACGUCAGAUUUGCUAGAUAUGACACCAAAGCUCCAAGAUAUCAUCUCAGGAGCAAUAUAACCUAUUGUUCCUCGUGCAGCACUAACAGGCACAAAACUAUUAUCCUGUGGGUACAGUUUGGCAAGGCCAAAAUCAGCAACUUUUGGAAUGAACUUGCUGUCAAGAAGGAUGUUGUGCGGCUUGAUAUCAAAAUGUAGAAUUUGCAUCUCACACCCUCGGUGCAAAUAGUUUAUUCCUCUAGCAAUUCCCAGUGCAAUCUCAUUGAGCUUUUCCCAAGAGAAACUCUUCUCAGGCGAGAAGAUGUACUUCUCCAGAGAUCCAUUGGGCAUGUACUCGUACACAAGUGCUCUCCUUGUUUCCUCGGCACAAAAGCCCACCAACGACACAACAUUAACAUGAUGGAUACUACCAAUGGUGGAGACCUCGUUGAUGAAUUCUUCUCCGUCACAACUAUAGUUGGCCAGUAUCUUGACAGCAACAUGGAUAUUGCCUGGGAGUAGAACACCCUUGUACACAGAACCAUAGCCUCCUUGGCCGAGCUUCUCCGAUCCCUGAAGUGACCUGUAAUUGCAGUGAUAUCGGUGUAGGCAUACCUCGUUGGUCCAAGCAUCAGUUGCAUACGAAGAAACUUGUCGACUGCGUCAAUUGUUAUCCUCUUCUUCCAGCACUUGUGUGCCAGGAAUGUCAUUACUACCAGCGGCGCCCCCCCCCCCCCCCCAACCUGAAUAUUACUGCAUAAAAGGGAAGUUUUAUACUUUACUAUUGGAUAGUAGAGGAGAGGAAUACUGCGAAUAUUAGACACAUUGUAUUGAGCCUCAGAGGACCGGUAUAUAUAGGAGUUUACAAUUACAGAUUGAUGUAGGGAGAAUGUGCUUGAACUUUGAAAGGCGCAACGAUGCAGCAGCUAGCUGGGGUAAUAUGGAGUGUGUAACUAUAUAAAUGCUCACAAAUUAAUUGUUAAAAUCAAUGAAACCACAGGAUAUAUCGCAAGCUCACCGAAAUGUCUCUGCCCUGCACUCCUUGAAAGAGUACGCAGCAUCAAUCGUGUAAGGAAACCGAACAGCGAAUCCACCUCUCAUUAUUUUGACGACAUCCUCGCAGCUUGGAUUCUCUUCUAGCACUCUUGUGUCGUUGCCGUGCAAAGGAGUAAUGGCCAGGUGCCCACACGAAGGCUCAAGAUUAUCAAUAUAACAAGAGUAUAUGCUGCCAAUUAGCACGUAAACGAAGGAACGGCUGGUAUUAUUCAGGCAAGCGACAGGCCUGUACUUCUCAUUGUUGUUUAUUUCCUGCGAACAAUUCACAAAGGCUGACCACCUACUUGAAGCAGGCUCCAGCUCGAUAUGGAUGGUGUGGCAACCAGUAUUCAGGGUUGUAGUUGGAUAAGGUGGAACAAUCCUCUGAGGAAGUGUGUUAGGUGAAUCCGAGAUGUUGGCAUCGACAACCCAGAAGGUAGAAUCACUGUAGUUGAUGCCCGUCACAGAGUACGUUCCCUCGUAGAUCUGAAUCGUAGCCUUGUCAUCGGUGCAAGUCAGCUCGUAGGAUGUAAAACCGCAUCCAGAUGGGUCACCUCGCCGGCGGAAAGGAGACGACACGUUGCUAAGACGGCCGCAGGUGAACGGAAGGCAGUCAUGCCGAUGAUGCUGAUGCCGCCCACCUGCAUCUGGGACGACAACUGCAAGCACAAACAAUACAGAGAUGACUCGCAGGGCGGUUGAGCGAUGGAACGAACCAGGA
Molecule: small RNA, 2043 nt
Filed under: Oryza sativa Japonica Group (Japanese rice)
Lineage: Eukaryota; Viridiplantae; Streptophyta; Magnoliopsida; Poales; Poaceae
Description: sRNA Os01g0115533
Source: RNAcentral